RNAcentral lists this small nucleolar RNA (66 nucleotides) under Euglena gracilis. RNAcentral describes it as "Eg-p27 AGAUGN box pseudouridylation-guide". Lineage: Eukaryota; Euglenozoa; Euglenophyceae; Euglenales; Euglenaceae. The record is from RNAcentral.
AUGCACUGCUAAAGGCUUCGCAAGCAUCGAUGUUGUUGCUUGCGGAGAAACCAACGGUGCAAGAUU